Molecule: long non-coding RNA, 617 nt
Organism: Mytilus californianus (California mussel)
Lineage: Eukaryota; Metazoa; Mollusca; Bivalvia; Mytilida; Mytilidae
Exons: 5
Source: RefSeq, a predicted model, not a curated record
UAUAAGUAUCAAUGCAUGUCAGGUAUAAAUUAUUUCCAUUUCAAACAUAAAAUGUCUUCAUCAAAAAUUACAGCAAAGUAAAUGGUUAUACCUUUUUCACGAAUACUUUGAUGAGACACAUACACGUUGAUUUCUGGAGGAAGUUAUCAUCCGAAAGCUAGGAAAAGGUAUAUUGUAGGAGACAAUGCACCGUAUAAUUGUGUUUAUUAUAUGCACUGUUUUGAAAUGUACAGUCAAUGGGUGUCCACUUGUUUGUAGCUGCACGGACACGACGGUUGGUUGCAAGAAUAGAAAUCUAGCAACAGUGCCGUCUGAAAUUCCCAAUUCGACACUCGUAUUAUAUUUGGAAUUCAAUCAAUUAACUACAAUACAGCAAGGAGCAUUUCAAGACCUAAUAGCGCUAAACACACUAAGUUUGAAUGGAAACUAUCUGACAUUUGUCAGGGAAGACACUUUUGAAAAUCUCACUAACUUAAAAUAUCUGUUUUUGGACAGCAAUCAAAUAACUACAAUACAGCAAGGAGCAUUUCAAGACCUACCAGCUCUUAACUACCUGUAUGUAUAUAUUGUUACAAUAUUUUUAUCACGAAGCAAAUGAUAACAAAAUCUAUGGUUAA